This 70-nucleotide transfer RNA is filed under the name Haliotis diversicolor supertexta. RNAcentral describes it as "tRNA-Ile". The record is from RNAcentral. Lineage: Eukaryota; Metazoa; Mollusca; Gastropoda; Lepetellida; Haliotidae.
GGUAACGUGCCGGAUAAAACGGGAUGCGUUGAUGACGCAUAACAUGAGAUAAUUUUACUCUCCGUUACCU